UUUUUGGAGAGUUUGAUCCUGGCUCAGGACGAACGCUGGCGGCGUGCUUAACACAUGCAAGUCGUACGAUGAUGCCG
RNAcentral lists this ribosomal RNA (77 nucleotides) under Actinomycetota bacterium. RNAcentral describes it as "partial 16S ribosomal RNA". It matches the Rfam family "Bacterial small subunit ribosomal RNA", at positions 1 to 77 of the family's 1533-position model. The record is from RNAcentral. Lineage: Bacteria; Bacillati; Actinomycetota.